GGACAAUGGGGGUGUCCCCAUGCCAGGACCUGGGACAUUGGCGUGUCCCCAUGCCAGGGCUUGGCGACAAUGGGGUGUCCCCAUGCCAGGACCUGGGACAAUGGGGGUGUCCCCAUGCCAGGACCUGGGACAUUGGUGUGUCCCCAUGCCAGGGCUUGGGGCAGUGGGGGUGUCCCCAUGCCAGGACCUGGGACAUUGGUGUGUCCCCAUGCCAGGGCUUGGGGACAAUGGGGUGUCCCCAUGCCAGGACCUGGGG
Molecule: long non-coding RNA, 256 nt
Filed under: Zonotrichia albicollis (white-throated sparrow)
Lineage: Eukaryota; Metazoa; Chordata; Aves; Passeriformes; Passerellidae
Description: lncRNA (ENSZALG00000012173.1)
Source: RNAcentral